Molecule: long non-coding RNA, 1311 nt
Filed under: Pongo abelii (Sumatran orangutan)
Lineage: Eukaryota; Metazoa; Chordata; Mammalia; Primates; Hominidae
Description: lincRNA
Source: RNAcentral
GGCUCCACCCCCAUGAAUCUAGGGGUGCUCAAUGUCAUCACAAGGGUCCUUAAGAGGGAAAGAGGAAGCCAUGAGGGUCAGAGUCAAAGGAAGACUUGAAGAUACUACACUGAGGACUUUAAAGAUGAAGGAAGGGGCGAAAACCAAGAAUGUGGGAAGCCUCUAGAAGCUAGAGAAGGCAAGGAAACAGAUUUUCCACUAGAGCCUCCAGAAGGAACACAGCCCUGCUGACCCACUGUAAUGUCUGACCUCUAGAUGUGUAAGGGUAGUAAGACUGAAAGUCUCAGAAAGGCACUGUUACAUUCUUAUUCCACAACCAUGCAACUCAAAACUGGGGUCCUCAGCAAUGAGCGAGGGGCGAGAGAAGGCACUGUAUAAACAUGGCACAUCCUCCUGGAAAGUCAACUUUACUCAAAGGUUCUUACACACAGUGACAGCUAGCAGAGUCUAAAGUGCUGACAUUAUGACUUAGAGAUGUGAUAAAGAGAAACAUCUAUUGCAUUUUCUGCUGGAGUACAGUGGUGCAAUCUCGGCUCACUUCAACCUCUGCCUCCUAAGUUAAAGCUGUUCUUGUGCCUCAGCCUCCCAAGUAGCUGGGACUACAGAUGGAGUCUCGCUCUGUCACCCAGGCUGGAGUGUAGUGGUACCAAAAGCUUUUACUUCACUGGGGAGAUUUUUCACAUGGGAGGAAAAGGACAAGUGGACUAUCACCUAUGUGGUCAGCUUACAACCUGAAUUUCUUGGAAAUGACCUAAUUUAAUUAUCUUCAUGGAUCUCCUUUGCUCUUUGAAUGAAGAGUAGUCAGCUAUUUUUUUGUGUGUGUGUGUGUUCUGAAUGAGGCUCUUGAGUGUCAGUUGCCAUUUUAAUGAAGUAGUGAUUUGGGCCCUUUCCUGAGAAUACAAGAGUUCAGGUGUCAUGCUAGUUGGCUUGGCCCCUCUUAUUCUUCCAGUAUCCCUGAUAGGUCAGAUCAGAGUGAUUCUGGAGGGAAAGUAUGUUUCACUGUGGAUAUGUACAAUGGCAAUUCCCAGUUCUGGAAUUUAACUUAAUUCAAUUAUUCACAUGAUGAGCAGCAUCCACACACUCCUGGUAAAAUUUGAUAAAAUGCUGUAGCAUCAAGAUGCUUUUGUAGAGACCUCUCUGCCAUUACCUGUUUUCUUGACUGGCAUUAAUCUCUACCAAAGCUAGAGACUUGAGCAUCAUCCUGAAUUCAGAGUCAUAAUCUGACAGCUACAGGUCAAAGUUGGCCCAAUGAUGUGUUGUUGGGAGUACCUUGAGCUUCAAAAAAAUAAAUAAAAGUAAUUUUCAACCCUG